Sapajus apella (tufted capuchin) is the source of this 4234-nucleotide long non-coding RNA. RefSeq lists it as uncharacterized. NCBI's taxonomy places the organism in Eukaryota, Metazoa, Chordata, Mammalia, Primates, Cebidae. The record is from RefSeq and is a predicted model, not a curated record. The transcript is spliced from 2 exons.
UUUUUCCCUUUGUAAUUCAUACGUAAUCUGUUCAGAUAUAUUUUGACACUGUAUGAAUGUCCUAUUCCCCUAGAAACUUUCAUGUGAUGGUUUUAGCAUCCAUUGAUGAUUCUUGCAUGAAUCAUUAUUGCUAUGGUGGUUGCAAAACAUUAAUUUUCUAUUUCUACUCUUUCUUCUGCAAUUUCUUUCUCUUAAAGGGAAUUACAUGAGCCAGGCAGUUAGUAUCUCAUAAAGCAAUAUGAUUGUGUUCUUCACACAAUCAGCAGUUUUUUAUUAAGUUAUGCACAGCUUUCAGUGGUAACAUUGUGGAUGUGAAGAGAUAUGAUACUGUCCUUUCCUGGGGUUUUGAUUGCGAUGUGAGAGAUGGAUGAUACACACAUUUAGAUAACUGUGUGAGGCGUUACAUAAAGUGGCAAAUGAGUUGUAUAGGCAAUAAAUGGCUUACGAAUUCGAACAAAGGAGAGGUUGCCCUGGGCUGUAAGAUUUUAUGGGAAAGGAUGAAAUUGAACUGAGUUUUGGAAAAUAUUUGGGAUAUAUAUGAGCAGUGUGGUGGAAGGCAUUCCAGGAUGGCAGAUGUCGUGAGAUUAUAUAGAGAUGAACUAGUUGGUUAAACUUAGGUGGUAAGUAGAGUUUGACUGGGGUAUAUAAUAAUUACAGAGAUUAGUGGAUUGUAGUGUUACAAAGAUGGUUUGGGAACAGAUUGUAGAAAAAUUUGAAUGCCAGGCUAAGGGAUUUGGACUAAACUGUAGACAGUUAUUGGAGGUUUUUAAGUGGGUGGUAAUGUGACAGAAUAUUUGAAGAUGUGAUUUUAAGUGGGUGAUUAUGUGUCAGAAUAUUAUGAGGAUGCUAUAAAUGUAAAAUUGAGGGGAGGUUUACUAAAAUCAGGAGAAGACUGGAAAGAUCUGGGUAAAGUGAUAGGCUAGAAAUGAAUGGAUGUCAGAAAUUCUGAAGUAAGUCUAGACAAAGCUUGGUUACUGGAAGAAUUACAGUACCACCAAUAGCAGAUACUGUGAAGUAAUAGUGGGAAACGGAUUUGAAUGGGUAGAGAAGAUAGUAAGAUUUGUUUAGAUUAUAUUGAAAAUGUUUAUACUUGGAAGGUACCUUAGAAAUCAUAUUGCAUGUGAGGAAAAUUGAGUGUGAGAUCAUAGUAAGAUGCCCAAGUAGAGAUAUCAUACGUUUGGAGGCACAUAGAUUUAGAGCUUGGGCAGGAACUCAAAAUUAGAUGUGGAGAUUUGGCAUUUGGUAACAUAUACUGAGGAGCAAGUGUUGGAGUUCAGAGAACGAAGAGCCCAGAGCCAAGGGAUGAAUGUUAGGAGCAAACUAUAGUAGUAAGUAGGUGUGGGAAAUGAAAAAGACCAGUUUAAGAAAUUUGGCAUCAAAGGAAGGAAAAGUGGAAGAGUUUUGUUUAAAGCUACUGAAGGAGAGAAGAUUGGAACAGCUGAGCUAUUGGAUAUAGAGUAUGGAAUUAAGAACAAUGGAAAAGAAGUAAACUUAGAGGAGGGGCAUGUGUUCUCAUUUGCCAGAGGUUCUAUAGGGAAUGAUAAUGAACAUGAUUAACUUUAAUUUAGAUUUACUGUGUGCUGGGCCCAGUUCUAGUGCUUUUACAUGUUUCUACUUAGCUUACAGUCACAGCCCAAUGUUGCAGAGAAUUGGUCAUUUGUCCAGAUGCAUAUAGCUAUUAAGCGGGCUAGGUGGAACUGAAUUGAGGCAAUGUGGCUUUAGUCUGAGCCCUUGACUUCUCUGUAGAUCUGCUCCUAAGGUAGAAUGAAUUGAUCAAGUUGCAGUAUGCUGAAAUUCAGUUUAAGGGGCUUCAAGUUAAUUGACUCACUGUAAAGCUGUAGUCCUUUAAAUUCUAGGAAUCCUUUACUUAUAUGUACAAUGAUGGAGUUGGAAAUAAUAUCCCUGAGAUUCUUUAUUUCUAAAAUAAUUAUGAGUCUAUAAGUAAACCAUCCAUCUUCUGAAAAUGAGAUGAAGAGACUUGGAGAAGCCUUUGUGAGGAAUAUACUAAGGAAUUGACAGUGAAGAAAAAGAUAGCUUAUUAGGAGUUGGCCUGAAUGUGUGCUAUGUCAGUUUUUUUAAAGCUUGGGCACAGAUGCGGGAAAAAAACAUAGUAGUCACGUGUUGUGGUUGAGAAGUGGUUCAUCCAAAAAGUGAGGAGAAGAGAGAAGGCCAGAGUGUGAGAUCAGUGUUUUGGUGACUGAGUUUUGGGCUCAAAUAGUCAAUUGGAUGUUGAAGAUACGGUCCGGUAGAUAUUGAAUUUAUAUGAGCCAUAACUCCAUGAGAACUCUGAAUUUCAGUAUAGUGUAAGUUGCUUACAGUGGUCCCACAUUUAAGGUUAACUGUUGUCUUCAUCAGCUUGAGCUGCUAUAACCGUAAACCGCAUGGCUUGAACAAAUGUUUCUCACCAUUCUGGCAACUGAGAAGUCCAAGAUCAAGGUGCCUGCAGAUUUAUUUUCUGAUGAGAGUCCCAGACCUUCCUGGUCUCUAGACAGCCACCUCCUUCCUGUGUCUUCACAGGGCAGAGAGGGAGAGAGGUCAUGUCUCUCGUGUAUCUUAUAAUAGUACUAUCUUCUUAAUGAAGAUACCACUCUCAAGACGUAACUGCCUCCCAAAGGCCCCAGCUCUAAAUACUAUCACAUUUGGGAUUGGGGCUUCAAAAUACAAAUUUGGAGAACACGAACAUUUAGUCCAUAGCAACUAUCAUUUCAAAAUAUAGGCAGUUUUUAUAAUAUAUUCCCUAAAACAUGUAUUCAAGUUGAUUGUACCAAAUUUAAAAAUAUACAGUAUAUGCUAAAUUCUUACAUUUAUUUCUCUUAUACAUAGUCAUUAAUUAUCAUUGCCAGCACCUGAAAAUGUUCUUUUGUUUCACAAACACUCAUUUGACCAGUCAGUUUUUGACUAGGAAAUGUGGCAAUUUUAGCAUGUCUGUUCAUUGAUUAUUUAAAUUGAAUUAGGUUUUGAAGUCUCUGCUAGUUUCCAUGCUUUUGUUUUCAUGUUUUCUAUUCAUCUUAUUUUUACUCCUACUUUAUGGAAACAUUUUAAUAACCAUACAAACACCGUACUACUGUAUUGAAGGGGUCACUACGAAAAGUGAACUAUUAACUGAUAGGUAGGACCAUCUGACAUGUUUGUCUCCUAAAGUGGUAAGUCUGUUUGUUAUACUAAAAGGGACUUAGGGAUGUUACUGAUACAAUGUGCAAAAACAUAGAUCGCAUGAAAAUCAGUAUUGCCUAUCUCUGCAUUGCAUCUUUUGACUAGAAGGUGACAUACUGUUUCAGGGAUCUGUUCAUUAUCAUUCCCUAUAGAACCUCUUGCAAAUGAAAAUUCCUAUCUUCAGUUUCACAGAAUAUACCUUUUUUUGUUGUUCUGAAAACGUUACUGUUUGGUCUGCUCAUCAGUUUUCAGUUCACAGUGCUUUUGGCAGUUAGUUGAACUGCCUGACAAACCAUGUAUUUAUUUAUUUUAAAGCAAAGUGCUUUUAGUGCUAUGGCAUACAUAGCCAAGACCCAUCUUUUCAUAUUGAAGAAUUCGAAGGAAAUAUAAUUUUUACACAGACUGAGGGCUGGUCUGUUAUAUAAUUUGUUGGUACGUUGAUAUCAAGGUGAGGAUGGUGAACAUAGUUAAACAUUUUGGUAAAGUAGACAGCAGAUGACGGGAAACUUCAGAGAGGAUGUCUCUUUGGGAUGAAAGUAGCUGAUUGUCUGCAUUCAAAAUAAAUUCAUAAAAUUGAAGCAGGCAUAGAAAAUAUAAGUACUGUUUCUCUAAUAAAAGCACUUCUAAUAGGAUACUAUUUUUCUUGCCUCUGGAAGAAUGUUUCCUUUGAGGAAACUGACACCCAAAGGAAUUUAGUUCAUUUCUCAAGACCACAAGGCAAAACUUAGGGUGUGCUAUGGCCUUAGUACUUUACCAUAAGAAAAAUCUUGUUUUAGUAAAAUGAAAACAUUUCAACUUACACAGGAAUUUUUUUAACUGGUUUUCUAAAUAAGUAAAAAAGCGUAGUGGGGGAAAAAAGUUCUGCUGCUUUUCAGAUUUAAAGACUUUUAGAAUAUAUAUCAUUUUGUCAGAAUGCCAAAAGUAUACUGUAAGACUUUUCUCAUCACAGAACUCAGCAUUCAAAACCGUUUGCCAGGCUCUGAGCUAGGUGUAAGGAAUAUAUAAGUAGAACGCAUCUGAUUCUUGCACUUAUGAAACAGAUAGUAAACAGGUAAACAAGUGUUUAGUUAUAAAAUAUCAA